GAGCAGUUAUUCUCUACACUAUACAUUUAUUUUUAUCACAUAAACUGAACUAAGGCGAACAUUAUAGAAUUUUAGCUACUAAAGGCAAAGCGAGUUCUACACAUUGAACCGUGCAGUCCAGAGCUUUCAUUUUUAUCAAAGGUUGCUGCGGGUAUGUCCAGGUUGGUGUUUAGUGUACAGUGACUGUAGGCUAAAUUGUACCAUCAAACGAUUGAUAAUGUUAAUUCAGUAGCAUGAUGAUUGUACCAGAUAUGUCUUCAUUGUAAUCUACAUGGAUGAAAUUUUCCUGAGGACAAAAUUGGUCAACUUCAACAAACAGUUUCAAGACAGAUAUCUGUUACACACAGCAUCCCUGGUGGUGUACAGAGAGAUGACAUGGAUCAAUCUUUCUCUCAUGGUUGUCUUAUAGAGAUUGUGCUGGUGGGGAAAGUUGGAUGUGGGAAGAGCGCUUCAGGAAACACUAUCCUACGAAGGGAGGUGUUUAAAUCAUCAUUUGGUUCCUCAGCUGUGACAAAGACUUGUAAGAGGGAGACAGGUCUGGUGUGUAGGAGCCGAGUCGCUGUAGUUGAUACUCCAGGUCUGGUGUGUAGGAGCCGAGUUGCUGUAGUUGAUACUCCAGGUCUGGUGUGUAGGAGCAGUCGCUGUAGUUGAUACUC
Oncorhynchus masou masou (cherry salmon) is the source of this 656-nucleotide long non-coding RNA. RefSeq lists it as uncharacterized. The record is from RefSeq and is a predicted model, not a curated record. The transcript is spliced from 3 exons. Lineage: Eukaryota; Metazoa; Chordata; Actinopteri; Salmoniformes; Salmonidae.